CCUACGGGUGGCAGCAGUGGGGAAUAUUGGGCAAUGGGCGCAAGCCUGACGCAGCAACGCCGCGUGAAGGAAGAAGGCCUUCGGGUUGUAAACUUCUUUUCUCAGGGACGAAGCAACUUACGGUACCUGAGGAAUAAGCCACGGCUAACUACGUGCCAGCAGCCGCGGUAAUACGGAGGUGGCAAGCGUUAUCCGGAUUUACUGGGUGUAAAGGGCGUGUAGGCGGGACUGCAAGUCAGAUGUGAAAACCAUGGGCUCAACCUAUGGAAGGCAUUUGAAACUGUAUUUCUUGAGUACUGGAGAGGAAGACGGAAUGCCUAGUGUAGCGGUGAAAUGCGUAGAUAUUAGGAGGAACACCGGUGGCGAAGGCGGUCUGCUGGACGGAAACUGACGCUGAGGUGCGAAAGCGUGGGGAGCAAACAGGAUUAGAUACCCGAGUAGUC
Molecule: ribosomal RNA, 443 nt
Filed under: uncultured bacterium
Lineage: Bacteria
Description: partial 16S ribosomal RNA
Rfam family: Bacterial small subunit ribosomal RNA
Source: RNAcentral